This 126-nucleotide small RNA is filed under the name Marmota monax (woodchuck). Lineage: Eukaryota; Metazoa; Chordata; Mammalia; Rodentia; Sciuridae. The record is from RNAcentral.
ACUGGGUGUGGUGGCUCAUGCCUAUAAUCCUAGGGACUCAGGAGGUUGAGGCAGGAGGAUCACAAGUUUGAGGCCAGUCUCAGCAACUUAGUGAGGCCCCAAGAAAUGAGUGAGACCCUUUCUCAA